GUGGUCGGUGUACAGGUGGUGCAUGGCUGUCGUCAGCUCGUGUCGUGAGAUGUUGGGGUUAAAAAAACGCAACGAGCGCAACCCUUGUUCUGUGUUGCCAGCAUGCCCUUCGGGGUGAUGGGGACUCACAGGAGACUGCCGGGGUCAACUCGGAGGAAGGUGGGGACGACGUCAAGUCAUCAUGCCCCUUAUGUCUUGGGCUGCACACGUGCUACAAUGGCAGGUACAAUGAGCUGCGAAGCCGUGAGGCGGAGCGAAUCUCAAAAAGCCUGUCUCAGUUCGGAUUGGGGUCUGCAACUCGACCCCAUGAAGUCGGAGUUGCUAGUAAUCGCAGAUCAGCAUUGCUGCGGUGAAUACGUUCCCGGGCCUUGUAC
RNAcentral lists this ribosomal RNA (374 nucleotides) under Streptomyces sp. SCC86. Its description in RNAcentral is "bacterial SSU rRNA". It matches the Rfam family "Bacterial small subunit ribosomal RNA", at positions 1023 to 1386 of the family's 1533-position model. Lineage: Bacteria; Bacillati; Actinomycetota; Actinomycetes; Kitasatosporales; Streptomycetaceae. The record is from RNAcentral.